UGCGAUCGAUUCUGCGGCGCCCAAGUCUGUCGUCUGCGAUCUCCCAUAGACUGACAGAAACAGGGAUAAGUUAUGCCUGUCUUAUUCUUCGUUUAUUAAUGAAACCGCUAGGGUACAAAAUACUUUACAGCUUUGAUAAUAAGCACCACUCAUUGACAAAUGCCCACAAUUCAUUGG
Molecule: long non-coding RNA, 177 nt
Organism: Aricia agestis (brown argus)
Lineage: Eukaryota; Metazoa; Arthropoda; Insecta; Lepidoptera; Lycaenidae
Exons: 3
Source: RefSeq, a predicted model, not a curated record